Molecule: transfer RNA, 70 nt
Filed under: Phelsuma inexpectata
Lineage: Eukaryota; Metazoa; Chordata; Lepidosauria; Squamata; Gekkonidae
Description: tRNA-Trp
Rfam family: tRNA
About the family: Transfer RNA (tRNA) molecules are approximately 80 nucleotides in length. Their secondary structure includes four short double-helical elements and three loops (D, anti-codon, and T loops).
Source: RNAcentral
AGAAAUUUAGGAUAAAUCAAACCAAGGGCCUUCAAAGCCCUAAAUGGAGGCCCAAACCCUCUAAUUUCUG